AAUUCACCAAGUGUUGGAUUGUUCACCCACUAAUAGAGAACAUGAGCUGCGUUUAGACCAUCGUGAGACAGGUUAAUUUUAUCCUACUGAUGAUGUGUUGUUGCAAUAGUAAUCCUGCUCAGUACGAGAGGAACCGCAGGUUCAGACAUUUGGUGCAUGUGCUUGGCUGAGGAGCCAAUGGGGCGAAGCUACCAUCUGUGAGCUUAUGACUGAACGCCUCUAAGUCAGAUUCCCACCUAGAUGUGACGAUGCCAUGGCACCCGGGUUAUACGAUUGGUCUCGGUUAGCCGGUCCUCCGGGGGCCCGGCAAGGAAAGACGUUUGACACCGGCCUGGGGCGCGGCUGAAUGAUGGCCGCCCCUCUCCUGUGACACAUCGCAUGUUUGU
This 386-nucleotide ribosomal RNA is filed under the name Cyttopsis rosea (rosy dory). RNAcentral describes it as "eukaryotic LSU rRNA". The stretch from base 1 to 266 matches the Rfam family "Eukaryotic large subunit ribosomal RNA", at positions 2911 to 3401 of the family's 3401-position model. Lineage: Eukaryota; Metazoa; Chordata; Actinopteri; Zeiformes; Parazenidae. The record is from RNAcentral.